CAGCAGCCACGGUAAUACAGAGGGUGCGAGCGUUAAUCGGAUUUACUGGGCGUAAAGCGUGCGCAGGCGGUUAUAUAAGACAGAUGUGAAAUCCCCGGGCUCAACCUGGGAACUGCAUUUGUGACUGUAUAGCUAGAGUACGGCAGAGGGGGAUGGAAUUCCGCGUGUAGCAGUGAAAUGCGUAGAUAUGCGGAGGAACACCGAUGGCGAAGGCAAUCCCCUGGGCCUGUACUGACGCUCAUGCACGAAAGCGUGGGGAGCAAACAGGAUUAGAUACCCCGGUAGUCCCUGUCUCUUAUAC
Molecule: ribosomal RNA, 301 nt
Filed under: uncultured bacterium
Lineage: Bacteria
Description: partial 16S ribosomal RNA
Rfam family: Bacterial small subunit ribosomal RNA
Source: RNAcentral